This 70-nucleotide transfer RNA is filed under the name Anolis eugenegrahami. RNAcentral describes it as "tRNA-Tyr". It matches the Rfam family "tRNA". Rfam says of the family: Transfer RNA (tRNA) molecules are approximately 80 nucleotides in length. Their secondary structure includes four short double-helical elements and three loops (D, anti-codon, and T loops). Lineage: Eukaryota; Metazoa; Chordata; Lepidosauria; Squamata; Anolidae. The record is from RNAcentral.
GGUAAAGUGGCCGAAUGAUAGGCAGUAGUUUGUAGUCCUACUUACAUUGGUUUAAUUCCUUUCUUUAUCA